RNAcentral lists this ribosomal RNA (92 nucleotides) under Rhinopithecus bieti (black snub-nosed monkey). Lineage: Eukaryota; Metazoa; Chordata; Mammalia; Primates; Cercopithecidae. The record is from RNAcentral.
AUCUACGGCCAGACCACCCUGAAGGCACUUGAUCUCAUCUGAUUUCAGAAGCUAAGCAGGGUUGGGCCUGGUUAGUACAUGGGUGGCAGAAC